UACGUAGGGACCAAGCGUUGUUCGGAUUUACUGGGCGUAAAGGGCGCGUAGGCGGCGUGGUAAGUCACUUGUGAAAUCUCUGAGCUUAACUCAGAACGGCCAAGUGAUACUGCUGUGCUAGAGUGCAGAAGGGGCAAUCGGAAUUCUUGGUGUAGCGGUGAAAUGCGUAGAUAUCAAGAGGAACACCUGAGGUGAAGACGGGUUGCUGGGCUGACACUGACGCUGAAACACGAAAGCGUGGGUAGCAAACAGG
Molecule: ribosomal RNA, 253 nt
Filed under: uncultured bacterium
Lineage: Bacteria
Description: partial 16S ribosomal RNA
Rfam family: Bacterial small subunit ribosomal RNA
Source: RNAcentral